Molecule: ribosomal RNA, 253 nt
Filed under: uncultured bacterium
Lineage: Bacteria
Description: partial 16S ribosomal RNA
Rfam family: Bacterial small subunit ribosomal RNA
Source: RNAcentral
UACGUAGGGGGCAAGCGUUGUCCGGAUUUAUUGGGCGUAAAGAGCGUGUAGGCGGCCAGACAGGUCCGUUGUGAAAACUCGAGGCUCAACCUCGAGACGUCGAUGGAAACCGUCGGGCUAGAGUCCGGAAGAGGAGAGUGGAAUUCCUGGUGUAGCGGUGAAAUGCGCAGAUAUCAGGAGGAACACCCGUGGCGAAAGCGGCUCUCUGGGACGGUACUGACGCUGAGAAGCGAAAGCAUGGGGAGCGAACAGG